Molecule: ribosomal RNA, 529 nt
Filed under: uncultured Enterobacter sp.
Lineage: Bacteria; Pseudomonadati; Pseudomonadota; Gammaproteobacteria; Enterobacterales; Enterobacteriaceae
Description: bacterial SSU rRNA
Rfam family: Bacterial small subunit ribosomal RNA
Source: RNAcentral
GUGCCAGCAGCUGCGGUAAUACGGAGGGUGCAAGCGUUAAUCGGAAUUACUGGGCGUAAAGCGCACGCAGGCGGUCUGUCAAGUCGGAUGUGAAAUCCCCGGGCUCAACCUGGGAACUGCAUUCGAAACUGGCAGGCUGGAGUCUUGUAGAGGGGGGUAGAAUUCCAGGUGUAGCGGUGAAAUGCGUAGAGAUCUGGAGGAAUACCGGUGGCGAAGGCGGCCCCCUGGACAAAGACUGACGCUCAGGUGCGAAAGCGUGGGGAGCAAACAGGAUUAGAUACCCUGGUAGUCCACGCCGUAAACGAUGUCGAUUUGGAGGUUGUGCCCUUGAGGCGUGGCUUCCGGAGCUAACGCGUUAAAUCGACCGCCUGGGGAGUACGGCCGCAAGGUUAAAACUCAAAUGAAUUGACGGGGCCCGCACAAGCGGUGGAGCAUGUGGUUUAAUUCGAUGCAACGCGAAGACCUUACCUGGUCUUGACAUCCACAGAACUUAGCAGAGAUGCUUUGGUGCCUUCGGGAACUGUGAGAC